CCUACGGGUGGCAGCAGUGGGGAAUAUUGCACAAUGGGGGAAACCCUGAUGCAGCAACACCGCGUGAGUGAAGAAGUAUUUCGGUAUGUAAAGCUCUAUCAGCAGGGAAGAAAAUGACAGUACCUGACUAAGAAGCCCCGGCUAACUACGUGCCAGCAGCCGCGGUAAUACGUAGGGGGCAAGCGUUAUCCGGAUUUACUGGGUGUAAAGGGAGCGUAGACGGCUGCGCAAGUCAGAAGUGAAAGCCCGGGGCUCAACCCCGGGACUGCUUUUGAAACUGUGUAGCUGGAGUGCAGGAGGGGUAAGUGGAAUUCCUAGUGUAGCGGUGAAAUGCGUAGAUAUUAGGAGGAACACCGGUGGCGAAGGCGGCUUACUGGACUGUAACUGACGUUGAGGCUCGAAAGCGUGGGGAGCAAACAGGAUUAGAUACCCGGGUAGUC
This 440-nucleotide ribosomal RNA is filed under the name uncultured bacterium. Its description in RNAcentral is "partial 16S ribosomal RNA". It matches the Rfam family "Bacterial small subunit ribosomal RNA", at positions 338 to 795 of the family's 1533-position model. The record is from RNAcentral.